RNAcentral lists this unclassified non-coding RNA (140 nucleotides) under uncultured Dothideomycetes. RNAcentral's name for it is "sequence contains ITS2". Lineage: Eukaryota; Fungi; Ascomycota; Dothideomycetes. The record is from RNAcentral.
CACCAAUCAAGCCUGGCUUGGUAUUGGGGCACGGGGGAGACCCGGCCCUCAAUGUCUUCGGCAGGAGCGCCCCGAUCGCAGCGUUGUGGCAUACAUUCUCGCUGGUGAGACGGGUGGUUCGCGCCGUAAACUCCAUUAAA